AAUGGCAAUGACAAUGGGAAGCAAGGUUGUAAGGCGGAGCGAAUCCGGAAAGAUUGCCUCAGUUCGGAUUGUUCUCUGCAACUCGGGAACAUGAAG
This 96-nucleotide non-coding RNA is filed under the name Triticum aestivum (bread wheat). RNAcentral describes it as "Bacterial small subunit ribosomal RNA". It matches the Rfam family "Bacterial small subunit ribosomal RNA", at positions 1229 to 1325 of the family's 1533-position model. The record is from Rfam by way of RNAcentral. Lineage: Eukaryota; Viridiplantae; Streptophyta; Magnoliopsida; Poales; Poaceae.